GAGAUCAAAGUCUACCAUUCCCGAGGGAGGAAAGGAGAAAAAAGAGCGGAAGGACGGCAGAGAUCGUCGACAAAGGUUCGAUCACUAAGGGAAGGGCUUUUCGCGGCCAACCAGUGUCGGAAAUCACAAAAACCCACUGAAUUUUCAGACAACCCGCAACCCCAAUGCGUGAUUAAACUGGCAUUUUGAUCAAGAGAAUCCGAUUAUGGAUUAAGAGGAUCUCAACCUUGAAUCGGAUCAAGAAGAAGUUACAUGAGCACCCGUGACGAAAA
Carica papaya (papaya) is the source of this 272-nucleotide long non-coding RNA. RefSeq lists it as uncharacterized. The record is from RefSeq and is a predicted model, not a curated record. Lineage: Eukaryota; Viridiplantae; Streptophyta; Magnoliopsida; Brassicales; Caricaceae.